AAAACAAAAAAAGACAAUGAGAACAAUAUCGGUAAAUACAUAUUGGUGGUGGCGUCCGUUACAACUCCGACAGUCGUAAGGGAGCAGCGCUCGUAUGUAUAUAUCCGAUGUAUAAAUAAGGAACAACAGAAAACAGAAAGAGCCCUGUC
This 149-nucleotide non-coding RNA is filed under the name Prevotella heparinolytica. Its description in RNAcentral is "Bacteroidete tryptophan peptide leader RNA". It matches the Rfam family "Bacteroidete tryptophan peptide leader RNA". Lineage: Bacteria; Pseudomonadati; Bacteroidota; Bacteroidia; Bacteroidales; Prevotellaceae. The record is from RNAcentral.